This 325-nucleotide transfer-messenger RNA is filed under the name Alphaproteobacteria bacterium MarineAlpha3_Bin6. RNAcentral's name for it is "transfer-messenger RNA, SsrA". The stretch from base 1 to 287 matches the Rfam family "Alphaproteobacteria transfer-messenger RNA". From Rfam's summary of the family: Bacterial tmRNA, also known as 10Sa RNA or SsrA, is named for its dual tRNA and mRNA-like properties. The record is from RNAcentral. Lineage: Bacteria; Pseudomonadati; Pseudomonadota; Alphaproteobacteria.
CUAUAUUAGCAGGGUUGGGAAACCAACUAUGGCGAUAAACGUUUUGUAGAAUAAGCGUAACGGACCCGGGGGCAGUGCCCGGCGCCUCCACCAAUUUACUCGUAAGAAUCUUUGGGGGCGAAACAGGAUCGACGUGCGUGGUAAAGGCACAAUUUUCGCUCGGCAUGGUACCACCGUUAUCGGGCCAAUUUUACAAAUGCUAACGAUAAUGAAGCAUUUGCGGUAGCCGCUUAAUAACCGGUUUACCACGGGGUUCGGGGGGCACCUGGCAACAGAAGCCCCCCACUAAAGAGCACCUAACACUUGUUAACUUGUGCAACAAGUC